Hippopotamus amphibius kiboko is the source of this 770-nucleotide long non-coding RNA. RefSeq lists it as uncharacterized. The record is from RefSeq and is a predicted model, not a curated record. The transcript has 3 exons. NCBI's taxonomy places the organism in Eukaryota, Metazoa, Chordata, Mammalia, Artiodactyla, Hippopotamidae.
UGUGGGUCCCAGGACUAUUACCCCAAAUCCCAGCCACGUGUUUCUCUUGCUUCCAUUAGUGUUCGCAGAGGUGAGGGAGCCAUGAAGAGGUAUUUGGAGGCUGCUUCAAGAGGCUGCCCUGCCAUUCGUGAACUUAAACCACCUGCAAGGGCUGAGUUCCUUCACAGCUGCUGCUGCUUUUCUGAACAAACAGCCAAGCACGGGCUUGGAGGCGUCCUUAAAGGUCAGCUGAUCCUCCCUCAGAAGCUUGGAUUUCUCCCCACUCGCCACCAGUUCUGCCUUUUAGUCCUGCAAAACCACCGUCACCACACUUGAGCCAGACUCAGUGUCCACUGCCCACAGGGUAGGAAGUGUGGUUAUACACCUGGCCAAGGUCCAGACCCCUGAGUAGUUCUUGCUGUCGUGUUUCCAAGCUUGGAAAAGGUACUGCUCUGAGACCAGGGAAGGAGACUAGCUACAAAGUUUAUUCUCUGACCCAUUGGAUGUUCAGUGCAUGUUGUUUAAUCUCCACAUAUUUAUACUUGGCAUUUUAAAAAUGAAGCAUGGUUAAAGGUCAAGGAAUGGCUGUGCCAAUGGGUGGCUCAAGAAACAAGUUUGUUGAGUUUUGGCAGUCAAGGAAAUGUGUGUGGAAUCCUUACCCAUCCUGGAAACUCUGACACUGGCAUCUGUUGCCUCCUGGUGGAGACGGCUGCACAGACCUCAGAGCACGAGUCUUCACCAUUGAGGAAGGUGGAUGGAAGGUGUGGGUGUUGACGGAAAGAGACACUGAA